UACCGAUUGAAUGGUUUAGUGAGGCCUUCUGACUGGCGCCGAUACUCUGGCAACAGAGCGCCGGAUGCCGGAAAGUUGGUCAAACUUGAUCAUUUAGAGGAAGUAAAAGUCGUAACAAGGUUUCCGUAGGUGAACCUGCGGAAGGAUCAUUACCGAUGAUAUUCGUCCAACAACUACACAGUUGUACCUUGUGAACCGUACCAAACUAUUCAGGGGUCGGCUUGUCCGUUAAAUGGUCGUCGGACGCGAGAGAUUGCGGGCGGUUGAACGGGCCCGCACGCGUUUUGUUUUUUAUAAACAUAUGUGUACCUGUCUGACCAAACGUUGCGGGCGGCCCAAGGGUCGGUCGCGGCAAUUUGAUUUUGAACGCAAAUGGCGCUCUUGGGUUCUCCCAGGAGCAUGUCUGUCUGAGUGUCGGAUAUCAUCCAACGCACGCCAGCGUGCGGAAUUGAGGCGUCACGGUCCGUACUGCACGGACCGUGUCCCUUGAAAGUCAGAGAGACUCGCCGCGUCGCGGGAAGAUUCCCCGUGCACACCAGCGGAGGCUAAAAUGUCUUUUGCCCUUCGCGUGCCGGGAAGUCGCCGCGUGCGGCGGUCGUCGUCGGGCGAACUUUAAUUAUCUUGACCUCAGAUCAGGCAAGGCUACCCGCUGAAUUUAAGCAUAUUAAUAAGCGGAGGAAAAGAAACUAACAAGGAUUCCCUCAGUAACGGCGAGUGAAGCGGGACCAGCUCAAAUUUGAAAUCUCCGAUGCCUGCAUCGGCGAGUUGUAGUUGCGAGAAGCACUUUCUAGGUGGAUCGGUCGUGCCUAAGUUGCUUGGAACAAGCACGUCGCAGAGGGUGACAACCC
This 848-nucleotide ribosomal RNA is filed under the name Desmophyllum pertusum. RNAcentral's name for it is "eukaryotic LSU rRNA". The stretch from base 623 to 848 matches the Rfam family "Eukaryotic large subunit ribosomal RNA", at positions 1 to 221 of the family's 3401-position model. The record is from RNAcentral. Lineage: Eukaryota; Metazoa; Cnidaria; Anthozoa; Scleractinia; Caryophylliidae.